UGUUAAAAAUUCCAUCCAUUUGUACAAUUAAAAAUUAGUGUGAUUAACAAAAUAACUAGACAAUGACAUAUAAUGUGUCAUGUGUACCUUAUACUAACAUACAAUAACCAAUUUUUAACAACAUAAAUGGAUAAUUUUUUAAAA
Gossypium hirsutum (cotton) is the source of this 144-nucleotide non-coding RNA. The record is from Rfam. NCBI's taxonomy places the organism in Eukaryota, Viridiplantae, Streptophyta, Magnoliopsida, Malvales, Malvaceae.